UCUCAAGUCGAGCGGGAUGAAGGGAGCUUGCUCCUGGAUUCAGCGGCGGACGGGUGAGUAAUGCCUAGGAAUCUGCCUGGUAGUGGGGGAUAACGUCCGGAAACGGGCGCUAAUACCGCAUACGUCCUGAGGGAGAAAGUGGGGGAUCUUCGGACCUCACGCUAUCAGAUGAGCCUAGGUCGGAUUAGCUAGUUGGUGGGGUAAAGGCCUACCAAGGCGACGAUCCGUAACUGGUCUGAGAGGAUGAUCAGUCACACUGGAACUGAGACACGGUCCAGACUCCUACGGGAGGCAGCAGUGGGGAAUAUUGGACAAUGGGCGAAAGCCUGAUCCAGCCAUGCCGCGUGUGUGAAGAAGGUCUUCGGAUUGUAAAGCACUUUAAGUUGGGAGGAAGGGCAGUAAGUUAAUACCUUGCUGUUUUGACGUUACCAACAGAAUAAGCACCGGCUAACUUCGUGCCAGCAGCCGCGGUAAUACGAAGGGUGCAAGCGUUAAUCGGAAUUACUGGGCGUAAAGCGCGCGUAGGUGGUUCAGCAAGUUGGAUGUGAAAUCCCCGGGCUCAACCUGGGAACUGCAUCCAAAACUACUGAGCUAGAGUACGGUAGAGGGUGGUGGAAUUUCCUGUGUAGCGGUGAAAUGCGUAGAUAUAGGAAGGAACACCAGUGGCGAAGGCGACCACCUGGACUGAUACUGACACUGAGGUGCGAAAGCGUGGGGAGCAAACAGGAUUAGAUACCCUGGUAGUCCACGCCGUAAACGAUGUCGACUAGCCGUUGGGAUCCUUGAGAUCUUAGUGGCGCAGCUAACGCGAUAAGUCGACCGCCUGGGGAGUACGGCCGCAAGGUUAAAACUCAAAUGAAUUGACGGGGGCCCGCACAAACGGUGGAGCAUGUGGUUUAAUUCAAACCACGCGAAGAACCUUACCUGGCCUUGACAUGCUGAAAACUUUCCAAAGAUGGAUUGGUGCCUUCGGGAACUCAGACACAGGUGCUGCAUGGCUGUCGUCACCUCCUUUCCUGAAAUGUUGGGUUAAGUCCCGU
Molecule: ribosomal RNA, 1040 nt
Filed under: Pseudomonas aeruginosa
Lineage: Bacteria; Pseudomonadati; Pseudomonadota; Gammaproteobacteria; Pseudomonadales; Pseudomonadaceae
Description: bacterial SSU rRNA
Rfam family: Bacterial small subunit ribosomal RNA
Source: RNAcentral